Neopsephotus bourkii (Bourke's parrot) is the source of this 1873-nucleotide long non-coding RNA. RefSeq lists it as uncharacterized. Lineage: Eukaryota; Metazoa; Chordata; Aves; Psittaciformes; Psittacidae. The record is from RefSeq and is a predicted model, not a curated record. The transcript is spliced from 2 exons.
CAGAGAGCUGCGGUUCCUCGCACCGACCACCUAGCAGGGCAGGCGGCUGCCGGGCUGCAGGUAGCUAUCUCCUCAGAGGGCUGGAGCUUUGCUGGCUUCCUUCAAGCUGCCGUGUGGUUUUCUUCCUUUAAACGUGUUUGUGUUCUGUACAGGCCCUUCCCACCCCACAGACCUCUUCCCCAUCUCUGAUCUUGGAGGGGACACUUCCACGGCUGACUUGUCUCCAUUGAUCUACAGACACUUGAGAAGCACCGGAGAGGCGGGAAGAGUCAUUCCUGAUGAGAAAUGGAUUUUUUCCCCCCACGCUCAUUAUUGUAGAGGACUGUCAGUUUCCCUUGGCAGCCUGUACAAUGGGCUUGCUCUCUAAUAAAUGCAGAUAGCAUUAAAUUAAUGUUUCAUUCCCAUGGUGACAAAGAGUGGCAUCCAGUUACAGCACAGGAUAAUUCAAUGACAGUAUGGCCACAAACAACUACCUUGCCUGUUAUGGGCUAAUCAGAAAUGCAGGCUGUUUGAAUUUGACUCAAAGCAUCCACGUAGCUUGGAGUGAGUUUAUUAACCUGGAGACAUACUGGUGAAAAUGAGCUAGGAACCUGGAAAUGAGAUAAUAUGCAUAAAAAAGAGCCAAAGCACAUAAAAAUAAGCAUAAAUGUGUGAGUCAGUUUUAAUGAAAAUUUUCCUUCUACUCUUCACCCAGCUCUAACUGAAACCUGUGCAGGAGCUGUCAGUGGAGGAGACCUGCAUCCACACCUGCAUGCAGGAGUGUAAGUACGUGUGGAGAUGAAGAAGAGGAUCCUUGUUUUGUAUGCUUGGCUAACAAAGCUGGUAGAGAUCAGGCUGCCAGAGAGGAAAAUGGUGCAGUUAGGCUUUGUCGUGCUCUUUGGGCAGAGUUUGGCCACGUGUAAAAGCUGCAGAGAACCAGCCCCAGAGGUAUUUGGGAACUGUUAAAUGAAGGAGCUCCAACAGACAAGCAGAUCCACAGCAGAGAGACUCUAAAGGCUGUUGAAGGCUGAAGAGUGACCAGAGCCUUCCAGCACUCUGCCGUGCUACUGUGAAGGGAGCUUCUGGCCCUCAGGCAAGACCUAGCUCUGGCGUUCCUCUCUCUUCUCCUCUGCUGCUUUUGUCCCCUUUUGCUGGAUGCGUAGCUGAUGGGCUUUCAUUAGGCUCAAGAGCAAAUGCAUCUUUCUUUUGAAUUUAUAAUACACAUGGGUAGAUACUCUGCAGGGAACAAGACACUGAGCUCUUUGAGGCAACUUGUAAAGAAGGAGAGAUUUUGCAAGGACAAGGAAUUCAGACUUCAUUAUUAUGACUUGCCCCAGGGUUAUGUUCUGCACAUCAGCAGUUCUGCAUGAGAGGAAGGACCAGCAGCAGAGGGUUCCCCUUUUGCUUGUGUUUAGCUGUAUGUGCUGCAUGUUUCUGAAUGCCUAUUUUGCUGCAUGUGUGAGCUUGGGAUAAAAUCUCAUGUGUGCUAGUUGCUUUUUUCUUUUCAUCAGAUUAGUUAUUUAAAAGCCUCUCAUUCAUGUCCCCUAGAAUUAUUCUAAAGAUUCUCAUUACACUUGUUUAUUUUUUCUUAAUGAAAGCUCUUGGAGCCACAUCUGGCAUAUCUUAUUGAUCAUAAUCUCAUGGCUGGAAACUCAUCUUGGUAACUAUAGCAACAGAAUUUUUUAUGUUUUUUUUCUUCAAAUGCCAACAAAACUCCACCAAAACUGUAAUAAGGAGGAGCAGAUAAUUUAAAUUACCAUGUAGCCAAUACCCUUUUUUCUGUAACCAAUUCUGAGUUUACUACUUUGAUACAGAAAACAAUGGAUAGGAACAAAAUCUUUUGACAGUUGUAUCUGCUAUGGAAGCUCGUGAAAGAGAAUGACGUGGAUGAAAA